GGGAACCUGACGCUCACGGCACGGUGACCAGCUCGGUCGCCCACGGCAUCGUGCUGAGCGAGUGGCGAGACCGGCUCGGGAGUCC
RNAcentral lists this non-coding RNA (85 nucleotides) under unclassified sequences. Its description in RNAcentral is "c-di-GMP sequence". It matches the Rfam family "c-di-GMP-II-GAG riboswitch aptamer". The record is from Rfam by way of RNAcentral.